Molecule: microRNA precursor, 206 nt
Filed under: Oryza nivara
Lineage: Eukaryota; Viridiplantae; Streptophyta; Magnoliopsida; Poales; Poaceae
Description: MIR812 microRNA precursor family
Rfam family: MIR812 microRNA precursor family
Source: Rfam by way of RNAcentral
AAAGAGAUAAAUCCUAAGUUUUCGUGUCUAACGUUUGACCGUCCGUCUUAUUUAAAAAAAUUAUGAAAAAAUUUAAAAAGAUAAGUUACGCAUAAAGUAUUAAUCAUAUUUUAUCAUCUAACAACAAUAAAAAUACUAAUUAUAAAAAAAUUUCAUACAAGACGAUAGUCAAACAUUAUACACGGAAACCCAGGGUUUGUCCUUUU